This 433-nucleotide ribosomal RNA is filed under the name uncultured bacterium. Its description in RNAcentral is "partial 16S ribosomal RNA". It matches the Rfam family "Bacterial small subunit ribosomal RNA", at positions 29 to 507 of the family's 1533-position model. The record is from RNAcentral.
AACGAACGCUGGCGGCAUGCCUAACACAUGCAAGUCGAACGAGACCUCCGGGUCCAGUGGCGCACGGCUGCGUCACGCGUCGGAACCUGCCCUUAGGUUCGAAAUAACUCCCCGAAAGGGGUGCUAAUACCAGAUAAUGUCUUCGGCCCAAAGAUUUAUCGCCUUUGGAUGUGCCCGCGUUGGAUUAGCCAGUUGGUAGGGUAAAAGCCUACCAAGGCGACGAUCCAUAGCUGGUCGGAGAGGAUGAUCAGCCACACUGGGACUGAGACACGGCCCAGACUCCUACGGGAGGCAGCAGUGGGGAAUAUUGGACAAUGGGCGAAAGCCUGAUCCAGCAAUGCCGCGUGAGUGAUGAAGGCCUUAGGGUUGUAAAGCUCUUUUACCCGGGAUGAUAAUGACAGUACCGGGAGAAUAAGCUCCGGCUAACUCCGUG